CUUGACACUGCAUGAAAAGAGCUGUAUACGGACAAAUACGGAAUGGGAAAUCCCUGCUAAACUUUAGGUUUGCCAGAUUUUUGAGGCAGAGUGCUUGGAAAGAAUGCACCUGCACCCACUCAUCUGACUGCCCCCACCCUUCAGGUGCGACUGCUCAACCUAUGGGCUUGACGGAAAAUUCAAAUCGCGAACCGUUACUGCCUGGACUACUCCGUCUCUUGUUUGUUUGUUUGCUCAUUAACAGUAAGAGGUCAUGUACACUGUGGUCAACUUUGUGGACGAUGAAGAGGUUUCUGGGUAAAGCUGAUAGAAAUAUAAUGAAGUAACAGUGAAAGCUAAAACAUCAGACUGAUCCAGACACUGAAGAAAUUGAUGUCACUGCAAUCUGGCCAAAAUGAUACAACUAUAUUGAAGUAGCCUACUGUAAUGAAGCUGCAGAACAACACAGAGACUCUGAGGACAUCAACACAGAAAAUGAAGGCUCCAAAGAGAUGUCUGUCCAGAUGAGGGUGCAUCAACGUUACCUUUGCUGACAAGUAUAUGCUUUACAAUGUAAAACCUAACAGUUAACUUAACUCAAACCAUUUAAGGAAAUCGGUUGCCUUAAC
Long non-coding RNA from Paramisgurnus dabryanus, 608 nucleotides. RefSeq lists it as uncharacterized. The record is from RefSeq and is a predicted model, not a curated record. NCBI's taxonomy places the organism in Eukaryota, Metazoa, Chordata, Actinopteri, Cypriniformes, Cobitidae.